Molecule: ribosomal RNA, 874 nt
Filed under: Coniochaeta rosae
Lineage: Eukaryota; Fungi; Ascomycota; Sordariomycetes; Coniochaetales; Coniochaetaceae
Description: eukaryotic LSU rRNA
Rfam family: Eukaryotic large subunit ribosomal RNA
Source: RNAcentral
AUAGCAUAUCAAUAAGCGGAGGAAAAGAAACCAACAGGGAUUGCCCCAGUAACGGCGAGUGAAGCGGCAACAGCUCAAAUUUGAAAUCUGGCUUCGGCCCGAGUUGUAAUUUGUAGAGGAUGAUUUUGGUGAGGUGCCUUCUGAGUUCCCUGGAACGGGACGCCAGAGAGGGUGAGAGCCCCGUAUAGUCGGCCACCGAUCCUCUGUAAAUCUCCUUCGACGAGUCGAGUAGUUUGGGAAUGCUGCUCAAAAUGGGAGGUAUAUCUCUUCUAAAGCUAAAUAUAGGCCAGAGACCGAUAGCGCACAAGUAGAGUGAUCGAAAGAUGAAAAGCACUUUGAAAAGAGGGUUAAAUAGCACGUGAAAUUGUUGAAAGGGAAGCGCUUGUGACCAGACUUGUGCCGGGCUGAUCAUCCAGUGUUCUCACUGGUGCACUCGACCCGGCUCAGGCCAGCGUCGGUUCUCGUGGGGGGACAAAAGCUUCGGGAACGUAGCACCUUCGGGUGUGUUAUAGCCCGCUGCUUAAUACCCUCGUGGGGACCGAGGUUCGCGCUCUGCAAGGACGCUGGCAUAAUGGUCAUCAGCGACCCGUCUUGAAACACGGACCAAGGAGUCGAGGUUUUGCGCGAGUGUUUGGGUGUAAAACCCGCACGCGUAAUGAAAGUGAACGUAGGUGAGAGCUUCGGCGCAUCAUCGACCGAUCCUGAUGUAUUCGGAUGGAUUUGAGUAAGAGCGUAUAGCCUCGGACCCGAAAGAUGGUGAACUAUGCCUGAAUAGGGUGAAGCCAGAGGAAACUCUGGUGGAGGCUCGCAGCGGUUCUGACGUGCAAAUCGAUCGUCAAAUUUGGGCAUGGGGGCGAAAGACUAAUCGAACCAU